Molecule: ribosomal RNA, 531 nt
Filed under: Triticum aestivum (bread wheat)
Lineage: Eukaryota; Viridiplantae; Streptophyta; Magnoliopsida; Poales; Poaceae
Description: partial small subunit ribosomal RNA
Source: RNAcentral
AUGGUAUCUGAAGAACAUGCGCCUAUAGAACACCACCAACUUCACCCAUCAGAUUUGAUGUUGAAGUUCAUGAGAUGCUAUAAGAAGAUGACACCUCAGGAGAAAUUCUUUAUACAAGUGCUCCAGAAGGCGAGGUUAGAACUGAGGAAGGUUAUGCAGAUUUUUACUGCCAUGGGGAGAACGAGGCGAGAAAUUAUGUUCGACACGAUUGACAUAAGCAACAUUGCAUGCCAGGAUAGGGUUGGAGAGCGCAGCACUAAUAUCGAGGACACCAUGAAACUGUUUGCCGAUAUGCAGAGGCGGAGGCUGGGAUUCCACCAUGUGGAAGACACAGAGAACAAUGUAGUGUGGAACCUGUUUUGGACAGACUUCUUGUGCAAGAUGAAUUAUGAUCUAUAUGGAGAUUUCGUGUCUUUUGACACGACAUUCUCUACGAAUAUAUAUGGCUUGCCAUUUGCACCAAUUAUAGGUGUCGACAACCAUGGGUCGACCAUCCUGUUUGGAAUAGGCCUUUUGAAAGAUGAGAAAUAG